Molecule: RNA transcript, 4155 nt
Organism: Formica exsecta
Lineage: Eukaryota; Metazoa; Arthropoda; Insecta; Hymenoptera; Formicidae
Exons: 13
Source: RefSeq, a predicted model, not a curated record
UAUAAUAACACUGUUUAAUUGUUCGACUUCUCAAAUCAAUUUUACGUCGUUAAAUAAUUUCCCCCGGCUAAUAAUCGAAUUGUUCGAUAAAGUAAUAGAAAGAAAGGGAUCUGUAAUAGCGUUUUCCUAUGAUAAAAGCGCGGAUUCGCGCGCGAUUCACGGCAAUCUACUCCGAUCUCAGUUGAGUGGCGCCAACCGUGGACGAUUCGCGAGGUCGUAGAACGGAUUGCCAUCGUGCAGGCGUCCCGCUGGACCGCUCGCAGCAUCCAGGCUGUGUCGUGCGCCGUCGCCGGCCGGUCUCGCGACGCGCAAAGCGCGAGAUGAGAAUCGGAGCGAUGACGGAGAGAGAAAGAGGAAAGAGAGAAAGAGAGAGACAGAGAGAACGUUUGAAACGCGAAAUCUCUAACGAGGAACACUCAGAGCCACGCGAGCGGUCGCGCGACACGGUACGAACGUUUGAACGCAUGUCGUGUCAACGACGUCGCGUUAUGUGCAUCGAGAAACGUACGAGCCACGUGAGGCUCGCUUGUGCCGUUUUGUUUCUCGUGGCAAUUGUUCCGCCGCUCGGACUCUGCCAAAAUGCCGAGGUACGUGGUACAUUCGGGGACAGGAGGAGAUCGGAUCUUUCCGGCGACGAGCCGCGCACUCUGCAAACCCAUCAGCAGUAUAGCCAGGACGCAUCUUCUGAGGAAAUGGAGGUGCUCGAGAAAAACAGAAGGAUGCUCUCGUCGCGAGGUGUUAUCAAGGAGCCGGGAGGAAUGGAGAUGGAAGCAAGGGCGAGGACCCGCGGCGAUGAAAGCAACAAACAUCUCCUUUGGUCGGAAAAUGGUGCGAAAAUUCCGCUUCUUUGGCGAAACGUAAAUGUCACAAGUUUGAGUAAGCAACAAGAGGGCAAUUUUGGAAGUCGAACACGCAAGAAACGUCGUAGAAGUAAGGCUUCCGGUGUCGAGGAUCGCGUACACGACAUUACCGAGAAUAGUCGGGAGAACGAGAUAUCGAACAAGCAGGAUCAAUCGUCAUGGAAAAGGAAUGACCCUUUCUCAAAGUCAAGGCCGAGGAGUCGGGAAGCGCGAAAAUCCCGUGCGGAGAGACGAAGGCGGAAAAAGAAAGAGAGGAAGGAGCGUAAUAGAGGAGGCGGGAAGAGCUCCCGACAAAACGACAAGCGACAAGACGUCGAGCGUCACUCAUCGAAGCGCGAAGAGACCGACACGUCCAAACGCUCGAUCGAAAAAUCGUCGAACGUCACCGCCGAUCGUUUGACCUCGUUGACAGAAAUUGUCGAUGGUACUACAACGUCGUCGAGUCUCCAGCGUCAUUCGACGCUCGAGGCGACCAACAGGCUAACAAGGACGACGCCUCGUCGUGGUGUUUACGUGGCCGAUACGGUGGAAAGGGAAUUCUCCAAACAGCUCGAGAUGGAGAUUUCCAAGUCCAUGUCGAAGGACCUGUCGAUUCUGGACGACGGUAUUUUCGAUAGCUCUCCGAAGAAAUCGACCGGACGAGAUGUCGAAUGGAGCGAGGUCGACGGGAAAAGUAUGGACGAGGACGCUUCGUCGAACGGCAAAAUUGAUUUCGGGAACUCGCGUUACGAUGCCGAGAAGAUGCUGGGCUAUUCGAGGACCAAGGAGGAUCUACCGAUUCUCGAUCUGGAGAAUGAGGUGCUGGAGAGAACCUUGAAGGACUACAACGCGUAUAGGCUGAAGCCGGCGUCGUUGCCACGCGAACUACCGCCGCCAAUUCCUCGCACCUCCGGUUCUCAUCCGCCGAGAAAGCCGAUAAUUAAUUCGGACGAGAGCGACGACGAAGAAACAAGCACGAAAGUCACAGGCAUGAUGCGGGACGACAGCACGAGCGGGGACUUAUCUUGCAUAAACGGGACGUUCCUGCCGGCGCCUCUAUCUCGCCAUGCUCUGAUCAAAUAUGUAAAGUCCUCGACCCCGGGGCACGAGUAUUUGGAAGCCGAUUACGAGUGUGUGCCAGGCUACCGUAUGGCAUCCUCCACGAGCCGAUUAGUCUGCAGGAGACGUCAGUGGCUCGGACAGGUGCCAAAGUGCGAGAUCAAGCAAAAUCCGGACGGGAUAUGCGCCGAGGCAUCCUGCGAGCACGAUUGCAACGAAAUUAACGGGCGUCCCGUCUGUUCCUGCUACAAGGGAUUCAGAUUGGUGGACGGCCACAAAUGCAUCGACAUCAACGAAUGUUUACUGAACAACGGCCACGGUCCUUGUCAGGAUACCUGCCGAAAUCUCAUUGGAGGAUACAAAUGCUCCUGCGAGGGUCUGCGGGACGCAUCGCUGGCCGCCGACAAUCACACGUGCGAACAUGACAAGCACACAGGUCCGUGCAGUGUCAACAAUGCCGGAUGCUCUCACACGUGUUUGUCCACGAUGGGUCGGGUAUUCUGCCUAUGUCCCGACGGUUUCAUCCUCGAGGAUGACUGGAAGACUUGUCAAGAUGUGGACGAAUGCUCGGUGCCGGAUCUUCAGACGGAGCUGUGUCGCUAUGGGUGCAUCAACACCCCGGGUUCCUAUCGAUGCGCGCAACCUAUGGAGCUGAAGGAUCAGCCAGUUUUGGACAGGCUGUCCAUCACUUGCCUGCCGGGUUACGAACAGACUUCCUAUGGAACAUGCAUUGAUAUCAACGAAUGCGCGGUUGAUAACGGGGGCUGCACGGAGGUGUGCGAGAAUACAGACGGUAGCUUCUUCUGCGCUUGCGAGGGGGAUGAAAAGGCUCUGUCAUCCGAUGGAAAAUCCUGCGUAGACAUAAAUAGCAUCGCGUGUCCACUGUUAAAUCCGGUUGGUCGUGGUUAUUUAAUAUGUUCCCGAUUAGCCACGUCCAAAUUGUGGCGGGACAGACGAAAAGUGCCCAAUCGACCCGGCACGAGAUGCUUCCUAAAGUGUCCUCGUGGGUAUCAGCUUCACGAGGAAUACGAGUUGACCUGUCGAUCCGAUGGCACGUGGGACGGAUCGGAGAACGGAAGAUGUGUCCGAUAUAGCAAACCCCGAUUGGAGUGUCCGAGGGAUGUCGUAGCCGAAUUACCGCCCGGUAAGGAUGAGGCGUUCGUGACCUUCGAUCAACCAGCGACGGAUCUCGAUUGGUUCCGAUACGUGCGAUCGAAACCAUCCUGGGGUACGCGUCUCGAGGCCAGCCUGAAGCCCGGAGUGCACGAGAUUACGUUCUUCGCGCGACACCCGGUAUCGAAGAAGCAGGCCAGCUGCGCGCUACGCAUUAUCGUCAAAGACGGCGAGGCACCGAAAGUCAAAGAUUGUCCGGGGGACAUCGAAGUCGUCGGGAGAAAUGGAACUGCGAUCACGUGGACGGAGCCGAUCUUCACGGAUAAUGUCAAGGUGACGCGGAUCAGUAAUAAUGAGAGCCCGGGUCGUCGCUUCGACAUCGGCGGUCACAGGAUCGAGUACGAGGCGGGUGACGAGGCCGGUUGGUCGAGCAAGUGCGUCUUCACCGUGGUCCUUCGUCGGGAAUAAGCAGCUGGAGAGACAGGAGGAAGGAUUAGGGACGCGGCGGGGAGAGGGUGAGGAGAGAAAGAGAGAGAGAGAGACUGAGCGGACGAGAAAAGAGGGGAAGAGAAAAGCAGCGCCGAAGAAUAACGAUAAGCAUAAAAAACGAGAGAUAAUGCAAUUUGCUCGAUCAAGCUCCAGAAACCAUGCCCUGCAAACUAUGCGAUUGAAUUGAUACGCGUCAGCGUGUCAUCAAGAACACAUCAUCUUCAAGUCAACGUUUUAAUAAAAGCCGGAAUCAUCGAUUUAUGUAUCUCACUUUUCUCUUAACUUUCUUUAAAAAAAAUAAUUCUUUCGCGUUAUUAUGUGUAAGUUAUAUAUAACGAUUAUUUAUAAAGAUCAAGAUCUCUUACUUAUAAUGUAAAGACGAAAGAAAGAAUAUAAUAAAACAAAGUUAAGGUUCUCACAGAAUUAUAAUAAUCGUAGUUUUGAUUUACCACCUCAACAUUGAGCUCCCUAAUCAGUGACAUUCUAGUCUUCGAGAGUUUAAAUUUUCGAACAUACGGAUUUAAAAAGCAAAUGUAAGAACUUUUGGAAUUUUAGUUUGCAAUCGUCUCUCUUUGUUAAUUAUAUUCUAAUAACACACUUUGCUAAUAUUUCAAAAUGAUAAGCAGAAUAAAAAAUAAGAAUUUUAUAUAUAUAU